RNAcentral lists this transfer RNA (78 nucleotides) under Nitrosomonadales bacterium. Its description in RNAcentral is "tRNA-Arg". It matches the Rfam family "tRNA". Rfam says of the family: Transfer RNA (tRNA) molecules are approximately 80 nucleotides in length. Their secondary structure includes four short double-helical elements and three loops (D, anti-codon, and T loops). Further hydrogen bonds mediate the characteristic L-shaped molecular structure. tRNAs have two regions of fundamental functional importance: the anti-codon, which is responsible for specific mRNA codon recognition, and the 3' end, to which the tRNAs corresponding amino acid is attached (by aminoacyl-tRNA synthetases). tRNAs cope with the degeneracy of the genetic code in two manners: having more than one tRNA (with a specific anti-codon) for a particular amino acid; and 'wobble' base-pairing, i.e. permitting non-standard base-pairing at the 3rd anti-codon position. Lineage: Bacteria; Pseudomonadati; Pseudomonadota; Betaproteobacteria; Nitrosomonadales. The record is from RNAcentral.
GCGCCCGUAGCUCAGCUGGAUAGAGUAUUGGUUUCCGAAGCCAAGGGUCGUGGGUUCGACUCCGCGCCGGGCGCACCA